Molecule: ribosomal RNA, 773 nt
Filed under: uncultured bacterium
Lineage: Bacteria
Description: bacterial SSU rRNA
Rfam family: Bacterial small subunit ribosomal RNA
Source: RNAcentral
AGAGUUUGAUCCUGGCUCAGGACGAACGCUGGCGGCGUGCUUAACACAUGCAAGUCGAACGGAAAGGCCCUUCGGGGUACUCGAGUGGCGAACGGGUGAGUAACACGUGGGUGAUCUGCCCUGCACUUUGGGAUAAGCCUGGGAAACUGGGUCUAAUACCGAAUAGGACCGCGCUCUUCAUGGGGUGUGGUGGAAAGCUUUUGCGGUGUGGGAUGGGCCCGCGGCCUAUCAGCUUGUUGGUGGGGUAAUGGCCUACCAAGGCGACGACGGGUAGCCGGCCUGAGAGGGUGACCGGCCACACUGGGACUGAGAUACGGCCCAGACUCCUACGGGAGGCAGCAGUGGGGAAUAUUGCACAAUGGGCGCAAGCCUGAUGCAGCGACGCCGCGUGAGGGAUGACGGCCUUCGGGUUGUAAACCUCUUUCAAUAGGGACGAAGCGCAAGUGACGGUACCUAUAGAAGAAGGACCGGCCAACUACGUGCCAGCAGCCGCGGUAAUACGUAGGGUCCGAGCGUUGUCCGGAAUUACUGGGCGUAAAGAGCUCGUAGGUGGUUUGUCGCGUUGUUCGUGAAAACUCACAGCUUAACUGUGGGCGUGCGGGCGAUACGGGCAGACUAGAGUACUGCAGGGGAGACUGGAAUUCCUGGUGUAGCGGUGGAAUGCGCAGAUAUCAGGAGGAACACCGGUGGCGAAGGCGGGUCUCUGAGCAGUAACUGACGCUGAGGAGCGAAAGCGUGGGGAGCGAACAGGAUUAGAUACCCUGGUAGUCCAA